Molecule: ribosomal RNA, 208 nt
Filed under: uncultured bacterium
Lineage: Bacteria
Description: partial 16S ribosomal RNA
Rfam family: Bacterial small subunit ribosomal RNA
Source: RNAcentral
UGCGUAGGCGGUUUGAUAAGUCACAUGUGAAAUCUUCGGGCUCAACCCGAAGUCUGCAUGCGAAACUGUCGGGCUUGAGUAUGGGAGAGGUGAGUGGAAUUUCCGGUGUAGCGGUGAAAUGCGUAGAUAUCGGAAGGAACACCUGUGGCGAAAGCGGCUCACUGGACCAUAACUGACGCUGAUGACGAAAGCUAAGGGGAGCGAAACA